CCGGGAGCCCUCCCGGUGUCCCCACAGCAUACCCGGGGCAGUCCUUCCCGCUGCGCCCGGCGGGCCGCUGGAAAACGCAGUCCCGUCCCGUCCCGUCCCGUCCCGUCCCGUCCCGUCCCGUCCCCGCCGCGAACAGCCCGGGAAUUGCGGCUGAGGCCGCUGGCGAGGUGUUGGGGCGGACACGGCGCAGGGCAAGUCUCUGGUGGGGCUCCUUCACAGCACAAGUGCGAGGAGCGGCAGAAAUAGGUCCGAGAUUCAGCCUCUGGAGGAUAAACUUGGCUCUGCGGCUCCUUCUGAGGGAGGUUGUUGUCGCAUGUGUAGGAGAUGUACAAACAGAUUGCUGCAGUUACCCAAUUAAGAUUUCUGGCAGCCUUUGACAGCACAAAGGGAUGUCAAGUGUGGCUGAUCCACUGCUGUGCAGAUGCUGCCGAGCAAAAGUUGUGAGAGAGCUCGACCAGAGAGCGAAGCAAAUCCGAGUGGGACGAAACCUGAGCAAAUGAGAAUCCUGCUCCCCUGGCAAAGAGAGAUCACCUUAUAUGGGAACAUCACGAGCAAGAGGAUGAACAGUCCGGCCGGGCUGCUGAGACUCUGAGCCUGGGAUUUACAGGUCCGACUUUGAGAGCUCUGCAUCUUUCAAGCCCCACCUUCUGUGUGUACAGUGUCAGUGGUGGCCUCACACCUCUCCCUGCCCCCUGGACCAGAUGCACACUGUUGGCUUGGAAAACAGCUGCAGCUUUGUGUGGCUCUGUGCAGCAGGAGAGGCACAGCCAAGACAGUUGUAUAGCCAUUGCUCACAGACUCUGUCAGGAGAGGAUGAAGUUAACAGCUCAGUAAGUACCAAUGUGAAGGAAGUGGCUCACAAAAGAAACAAGAUCUGGCAUAGAGCAGAAUACACUGUACCAAUGCAGGCAAGU
This is a long non-coding RNA of Corvus hawaiiensis (hawaiian crow), 914 nucleotides long. RefSeq lists it as uncharacterized. The transcript has 4 exons. The record is from RefSeq and is a predicted model, not a curated record. NCBI's taxonomy places the organism in Eukaryota, Metazoa, Chordata, Aves, Passeriformes, Corvidae.